This 894-nucleotide ribosomal RNA is filed under the name Chloridium virescens var. caudigerum. RNAcentral's name for it is "LSU rRNA". It matches the Rfam family "Eukaryotic large subunit ribosomal RNA", at positions 38 to 964 of the family's 3401-position model. The record is from RNAcentral. Lineage: Eukaryota; Fungi; Ascomycota; Sordariomycetes; Chaetosphaeriales; Chaetosphaeriaceae.
GCAUAUCAAUAAGCGGAGGAAAAGAAACCAACAGGGAUUGCCUUAGUAACGGCGAGUGAAGCGGCAACAGCUCAAAUUUGAAAUCUGGCCUUCUGGUCCGAGUUGUAAUUUGCAGAGGAUGCUUCGGGCGCGGUGCCUUCCAAGUCCCCUGGAACGGGGCGCCGGAGAGGGUGAGAGCCCCGUACGGUUGGCGGCCAAGCCUGUGUGAAGCUCCUUCGACGAGUCGAGUAGUUUGGGAAUGCUGCUCUAAGCGGGAGGUAGACCCCUUCUAAAGCUAAAUACCGGCCAGAGACCGAUAGCGCACAAGUAGAGUGAUCGAAAGAUGAAAAGCACUUUGAAAAGAGGGUUAAACAGCACGUGAAAUUGUUGAAAGGGAAGCGCUUGUGACCAGACGUGCGCCGGGGUGUUCAGCGGGCGUUCUCGCCCGUGCACUCGCCUCGGCGCAGGCCAGCGUCGGUUUGGGCGGGGGGAUAAAGGCGUCUGGAAUGUGGCUCCCUCGGGAGUGUUAUAGCCAGUCGUGCCAUGCCUCCGCCUGGACCGAGGUACGCGUUCUGCAAGGACGCUGGCGUAAUGGUCUCCAGCGACCCGUCUUGAAACACGGACCAAGGAGUCGAGGUUUUGCGCGAGUGUUUGGGUGGAAAACCCGCACGCGUAAUGAAAGUGAACGUAGGUGAGAGCUUCGGCGCAUCACCGACCGAUCCUGAUGUUUUCGGAUGGAUUUGAGUAAGAGCGUAGGGCCUCGGACCCGAAAGAUGGUGAACUAUGCUUGGAUAGGGUGAAGCCAGAGGAAACUCUGGUGGAGGCUCGCAGCGGUUCUGACGUGCAAAUCGAUCGUCAAAUCUGAGCAUGGGGGCGAAAGACUAAUCGAACCAUCUAGUAGCUGGUUACCGCCGA